AUACCGCAUAAGAGUAGAUGUUGCAUGACAUUUGCUUAAAAGGUGCAAUUGCAUCACUACCAGAUGGACCUGCGUUGUAUUAGCUAGUUGGUGGGGUAACGGCUCACCAAGGCGACGAUACAUAGCCGACCUGAGAGGGUGAUCGGCCACACUGGGACUGAGACACGGCCCAGACUCCUACGGGAGGCAGCAGUAGGGAAUCUUCGGCAAUGGACGGAAGUCUGACCGAGCAACGCCGCGUGAGUGAAGAAGGUUUUCGGAUCGUAAAGCUCUGUUGUAAGAGAAGAACGAGUGUGAGAGUGGAAAGUUCGCACUGUGACGGUAUCUUACCAGAAAGGGACGGCUAACUACGUGCCAGCAGCCGCGGUAAUACGUAGGUCCCGAGCGUUGUCCGGAUUUAUUGGGCGUAAAGCGAGCGCAGGCGGUUAGAUAAGUCUGAAGUUAAAGGCUGUGGCUUAACCAUAGUACGCUUUGGAAACUGUUUAACUUGAGUGCAAGAGGGGAGAGUGGAAUUCCAUGUGUAGCGGUGAAAUGCGUAGAUAUAUGGAGGAACACCGGUGGCGAAAGCGGCUCUCUGGCUU
This 581-nucleotide ribosomal RNA is filed under the name uncultured Bacilli bacterium. RNAcentral describes it as "bacterial SSU rRNA". It matches the Rfam family "Bacterial small subunit ribosomal RNA", at positions 166 to 735 of the family's 1533-position model. The record is from RNAcentral. Lineage: Bacteria; Bacillati; Bacillota; Bacilli.